RNAcentral lists this ribosomal RNA (253 nucleotides) under uncultured bacterium. RNAcentral describes it as "partial 16S ribosomal RNA". It matches the Rfam family "Bacterial small subunit ribosomal RNA", at positions 524 to 776 of the family's 1533-position model. The record is from RNAcentral.
UACGAAGGGGGCUAGCGUUGCUCGGAAUUACUGGGCGUAAAGGGCGCGUAGGCGGACAGCUUAGUCAGAGGUGAAAGCCCAGGGCUCAACCUUGGAAUUGCCUUUGAUACUGGCUAUCUUGAGUUCGGGAGAGGUGAGUGGAAUGCCGAGUGUAGAGGUGAAAUUCGUAGAUAUUCGGCGGAACACCAGUGGCGAAGGCGACUCGCUGGCCCGAUACUGACGCUGAGGCGCGAAAGCGUGGGGAGCAAACAGG